AGUUGGCCAUUUCCCACUAUGUAGAGAGCUCUCCCAGAGACCUAAUGGUGCAGCAAAAUGAAAAAACCCAAAACAAACGUCAAGAUAUAUGAAAAUCUGUUCAGGCACAUUUAGAGGCCUUGGAGUGAAGUUAGAUAGCUGGCAGUGAUUGAGAAUAAAGGCAAAAGAGACAAGUUUCUAAUUCUAUGCUGAGUCCGCUGCUGUUAUUGUAAUAAAGCCACCACAUAACACCUGAGAC
Molecule: non-coding RNA, 238 nt
Organism: Pantherophis guttatus
Lineage: Eukaryota; Metazoa; Chordata; Lepidosauria; Squamata; Colubridae
Source: RefSeq, a predicted model, not a curated record